UCGCGGUAAUACGUGGAAGACUAGUGUUAUUCAUCUUUAUUAGGUUUAAAGGGUACCUAGACGGUAUUUCUAGCCCAAAAUAGGGUACGGAUUUACUAGAGUUUUAUGUGAGGAGGGGAGUACUCGUAGAGUAGAGAUGAAAUUUUGUUAUACUAUGAGGUAACUGGUGGCGGCGAAAGCAACCUUCUAUGUAUAAACUGACGUUGAGGGACGAAGGCUUGGGUAGCAAAUAGGAUUAGAUACCCUAGUAGUCCAAGCAGACAAUUCUGAAUGCCAUAGAUUAGAUUAUUUUUGGUCUAUAAAUGAAAGUGUAAGCAUUCCACCUUAGGAGUAAUGUGGCAACACAGGAACUGAAAUCAUUAGACCGUUUCUGAAACCAGUAGUGAAGUAUGUUAUUUAAAUUGAUGGUCCACAAAAAACCUUACCACAACUUGAAUAUUUUUAAUUAAUACAAGCGUUGCACGGCUGUCUUCAGUUAAUGUCGUGAGAUUUUGGUUAACUCCAUUAAUUAACGUAAACCCUUACUUU
This 528-nucleotide ribosomal RNA is filed under the name Acarospora praeruptorum. RNAcentral describes it as "SSU rRNA". It matches the Rfam family "Bacterial small subunit ribosomal RNA", at positions 515 to 1112 of the family's 1533-position model. Lineage: Eukaryota; Fungi; Ascomycota; Lecanoromycetes; Acarosporales; Acarosporaceae. The record is from RNAcentral.